RNAcentral lists this non-coding RNA (325 nucleotides) under Phytophthora ramorum (sudden oak death agent). Its description in RNAcentral is "Eukaryotic small subunit ribosomal RNA". It matches the Rfam family "Eukaryotic small subunit ribosomal RNA", at positions 57 to 303 of the family's 1831-position model. Lineage: Eukaryota; Oomycota; Peronosporomycetes; Peronosporales; Peronosporaceae. The record is from Rfam by way of RNAcentral.
GUCUAAGUAUAAACACUUUUGUACUGUGAAACUGCGAAUGGCUCAUUAUAUCAGUUAUAGUCCACUCGAUAGUACCUUACUACUUGGAUACCCGUAGUAAUUCUAGAGCUAAUACAUGCAUCAAUACCCAACUGCUUGUCGGGCGGGUAGCAUUUAUUAGAUUGAAACCAAUGCAGUCGUAUUGUUGCCCGUUGAAUUCCGAGCCGAAUGAUAUGCAGGUUGCCUAUAGAGGCCUAAGUUGUGUGGUACACACAAUAUGAUGUGUACCACAUCAAAUAUGUAGUUUAAUAGGUUUUUGGACCCAUUUCAGGAUAAAUUUUGGGAG